This 32-nucleotide non-coding RNA is filed under the name Mus musculus (house mouse). The record is from RNAcentral. Lineage: Eukaryota; Metazoa; Chordata; Mammalia; Rodentia; Muridae.
UGUCAAAUAAUCUCAAUAAAGAGAAUCGUUGU